ACGACGCUGGCGGCGUGGAUUAGGCAUGCAAGUCGAACGGUAUCAUCCUUUCGGGGAUGAGAGAGUGGCGAACGGGUGAGUAACACGUAGGUGAUCUACCCUCAAGACGGGGACAACCCAGGGAAGCUUGGGCUAAUACCGGAUGUGAGCUAUCGUGAGAUAGUUUGAAAGGUGGCUUCGGCUGCCGCUUGAGGAUGAGCCUGCGUCCUAUUAGCUAGUUGGUGAGGUAACGGCUCACCGAGGCAGUGAUAGGUAGGCGGCCUUAACGGGUGGUCGCCCACACUGGGAUUGAGAUACGGCCCAGACUCCUACGGGAGGCAGCAGUCGAGAAUAGUCUACAAUGGUCGAAAGACUGAUAGUGCGACGCCGCGUGAACGAAGAAGCCCUUCGGGGUGUAAAGUUCUUUUAUAUGUGAGCAGUGACAUCUAUAUUAAUAGUAUGGGUGUAGAGAUAUUAGCAUAUGAAUAAGCAACGGCUAACUCCGUG
Molecule: ribosomal RNA, 486 nt
Filed under: uncultured bacterium
Lineage: Bacteria
Description: bacterial SSU rRNA
Rfam family: Bacterial small subunit ribosomal RNA
Source: RNAcentral